Molecule: long non-coding RNA, 1116 nt
Organism: Stomoxys calcitrans (stable fly)
Lineage: Eukaryota; Metazoa; Arthropoda; Insecta; Diptera; Muscidae
Exons: 2
Source: RefSeq, a predicted model, not a curated record
CGUUGAACUCCUCAUUAAAAGGCUGUCGUCAGGGAGCACACUUUCUACGCAUGGCAUUGAGUGUACAUUCCCUACUGGCCAUGUUUGUGAAAUCGAAACUUCCUUGGGCAAGAUUUUGAAUUUCAGUCGGUGGCUACGUUUACUCAAUGACAUGCUUAGACCAUACAUAUCACAAUAACUGCAUGGCGGGGAGGUAACAAUAAUAUGGCAAUUCGGAACCAAAACCUCCCGCUAUGGGCAAAUAUAAACAAGAAAUCAUGCCCAAAAGAGCCACUAAAAAAAGGCAUGUCGAAGUGGAUCCAAGUUUCCCUGUCGUUUUAUCACGGUUGUGAGGAGAACACAUCCCACGGAAAUGGAUAUUUUACCCUCACAAUUGCUACGAACGACAAGUUUGCUUUGCUCCAUAGACAUAUUUGUAGUUGUUAUACACCACAUCAAUCCAACGACAAUCAAUUUGGACACGGCGGACCUCCAACGUCAUGAAAAUUGUGGUCCAGCUGCCCAAAUAGUUAUCCCAGAUCCCACCAGCAACCACUAGGUAGUGGCAGUUGCCCCAACAAAACACUGAGUGCACUCUCAAAAUCAGUGUACGGUGCAACUCUGAUUUUGUGAUAUUGCUAGUUCGCGCCAUUUUUCGUUGUUUGUGUGUGUUAUGGCUCUUAACUAUAAUACACACACACAACCAAAAGUCGUUGACAGAUAGUGAACUUCGCGAGAAAAAAAAAUUUCUCAGCUGUUUACAGAACACUACCUGGUAAUGAUGUCAUGGAAAAAUUUACAUUUCACGACGCCCAAGAAGAGCACAAUCAAAGUUGCUGCGCAAUAAGUCGUCUUCUUGUGUAAAUAAACGCGAUCGCCAUACUUCUAAUUGUAACAUACUUGUUAGUGUAAGUGAUCUUGUUCACACGUGCUUAUUCGGGGUGGAAAACAAUUUGUUAUAUGGGGAUGCAUAAAUAUGAAAGAAUUUGUAGGUAAAUACUAGCUGACCCGGGCUCGCUCCGCUGAGCCUUCUUUUACUUUAUAUGGAACAAAAGUUUCCUUGGAAUAUUUAUUUUCGAAGAUCUUUUAGUGAAAUACCAUGCUAACAAUUUAACAAUAUAAGUACCUUUAUCUGAA